GACGAACGCUGGCGGCGUGCUUAACACAUGCAAGUCGUACGGUAAGGCCCUUUCGGUGGUACACGAGUGUCGAACGGGUGAGUAACACGUGAGUAACCUGCCCACAACUUUGGGAUAACGCUAGGAAACUGGUGCUAAUACUGGAUAUGUGCUCCUGCUUCAUGGUGGGGGUUGGAAAGCUCCGGCGGUUGUGGAUGGACUCGCUGCCUAUCAGCUUGUUGGUGGGGUAGUGGCUUACCUAGGCGGCGACGGGUAGCCGGACUGAGAGGGUGACCGGCCAAACAGGCACUGAGAGAAGGCACAGAUGCCUACGGGAGCCAGCAGUGCGGAAUAUUGCACAAUGGGCGCAAGCCGGAUGCAGAAAGGCCGCGUGCGGGAUGACGGCCUUAGGGUUGUAAACCGAUUUCAGAAGGAACGAAGCUUUUUGUGACGGUACCUGAAGAAGAAGCCACGGCUAACUACGUG
RNAcentral lists this ribosomal RNA (465 nucleotides) under uncultured bacterium. Its description in RNAcentral is "partial 16S ribosomal RNA". It matches the Rfam family "Bacterial small subunit ribosomal RNA", at positions 28 to 507 of the family's 1533-position model. The record is from RNAcentral.